AUCUGGAGUUGCUCAAAUGGAGUGGCUGUGGCCAUCUUUCCUUACACGUGGGGAGGAAUCAGCCUGAGAAUGAAACCAUCACAGGAAAGGGCUGAAAGACGGCAAGUUUUCACUGGGUCUUACCCGACGUGAGCCCCCACUCCUCCAUAUGGACCUGUUUUGGACCAAUGAGGCAUCCUCUUCUGUAGUCCUCAACACGCGGAGCUCCACCACUCCUGAGCAGUGUGACCUCAGGUGGGGUUGGGGAGAGGCCUCGGGAUGGCAAGGACCAGGGUCUGCGGCCAAGCCUGUGGGUCCUGUCUCCCUCUAGGAUGCCCCUGGGACACUGGUACCCAUGGAUGCACUGGGUGACUUGAGGUGCUUGCUGCAGAGGCAUCGGGGGUCUCUGGCCAGAGGUGACAUCUGAAGCAAUCGGGAUCCUGUUUGGUUUUGCCACAUCCGACCUGCCGCCCAGCUGGGGCAAGACAGCCACGCGCGGCGGAUGCACCGGCCCUGAACUCUUUCUCGAGUAGUCCCCAGAGAUUUCAGGAAGAGAGAGAAGAGGUAAAGAGACCAGAAACAAAGUCUUCUGCAAGCAAAGAACUGCAACAGGCCCCAGCUGUUAGGUUUGAGGGGCGUAUGGGGCAGGCGACUGAACUGCAGAGUUGGAGCCAGAGGUACCAUUGCUGACCCCUGAGCCCAGGAGCCUUGAGAAUACUGACAGUGUUAAUAAUAACUGCAAUCAUCCAACAUAUGAUGCUAGAAUAACUGGACAUCUGUGUGCAAAAAUAUUAAACCUAUACCUUGCACCUUAUCACAAAAUUCACUCAAAAUAGAUCAUAGACCAAAAUGUGAAACAUAAAACUAAGACUUCCAGGGGAAAACAGGAGAAAAUCUUUGUGACUUUGGGGUUAGGCAAAGCUUUUUGCUAAAGACAUUGAUAAGAGAUUGAAAAAACAAGCAGAUUGCCAGAUGAUCUUUGCAAAACAUGUAUCUGAUAAAAGACUUGUAGCCAGAACAUAUAAAGAACUCUCUUUUUUUCUUCGUUGUUCUUUUUUUUUUUUUUUUGAGAUGGAGUCUCACUUUGUCGCCCAAGCUAGAGUGCAGUGGGGCAAUCUCAGCUCACUGCACCCUCUGCCUCCUGGGUUCAAGCAAUUCUCCUGCCUCAGCCUCCCAAGUAGCUGGGAUUAUAGGGCAUGCGCCACCAUGCCCAGCUAAUUUUUUUUUUUUUUUUUGAGACGGAAUCUCGCUCUUAUUGCCAGGCUGGAGUGCAGUGGUGCGAUCUUGGCUCACUGCAACCUCCAACUCCCUGGUUCAAGCGAUUCUCCUGCCUCAGCCUCCCGAGAACCUGGGAUUACAGGCACACUCCACCACGCCCAGCUAAUUUUUAUAUUUUUGGUAGAGAUGGGGUUUUGCCAUAUUGGCCAGGCUGGUCUCGAACUCCUGACCUCAAGCAAUCCGCCCAUCUCGGCCUCCCAAAGUGCUGGGAUUACAGGUGUGAGUCACCACACCCAGCCUCUUUUUCCUUUUCUUUCUUUCUUUUUUUUUUUUUGAGACAGGGCCUUGCUCUGAGCUGGAGUGCAGUGGUGUGAUCACGGCUCACUGCAGCCUCAACCUCCCGGGCUCAGGUGAUCCACCCACCUCAGUCCCCCAGGUAGCUGUGAUCAUGCCACUGCACUCCAGCCUGGGCGACAGAGCAAGACCCUAUCUCUAAAUUUUAAAAAAGUGCAAAAAUCUGGAUGUAAAUAUUUACACUGGUCUUAUUCAUAACCACCAAAAACUAGAAACAACUAAAAUGGCUUCAACUGGUAAAUGUAUAAACACGCAGUGGUACGUUCAUAAAAUGAAAUACUAUGCAGCAAUAAAAAGGAAUGAGCUACAGAUACAUGCAGCAGCAGGGCAGAAUCUCAGAUGUAUUAUGCUAAGUGAGAGAAGCCACACUCAAGGCUACUUUUUGAAGGAUUCUGUUCCGGAAAAGGCAAAACAAUGGGAACAAGAAACAGAUGGGUAGUUGCCAGGGACUAGAAUGCAGAGAGGGACUGACUACAAAGGGCAAGUGGGAACUGGGGGUGACGAUGGGUACUGGAACUGGUGUGUGUGUGUGUGUGUGUGUGUUUGUGUUUGUAUACGUGUCUAUGUAUGUAUAUGCGUGUGUGUAUAUUUUUUAAGAGACAAGGUCUUGUUCUGUCAUCCAGUCUGGAGUGUAAUGGCACGAUCAUAGCUCACUGCAGCCUCGAACUUCUGGGCUCAAGGGAUUCUCCUGCCUCAGCUGCCCGAGUGGCUGGGACCACAGGCUCAUGCCACCAUGCCUGGCUAAUUUUUAAUUUUUUUGUACCAACAGGAUCUUGCCAUCUUGCCCAAGUUGGUUUCCAACUCCUGGGCUCCAGCGAUCCUCCCCCCUCAGCCUCCCAAAGUGCUGGGAUUACAAGUGUGAGCCACUGUGCCUGUCCUGUCCUAUAUCUUUUUUUUUUUUUUUUGACAGAGUCUCACUCUGUCGCCCAGGCUGGAGUGCAGUGGUGCAAUCUUGGCUCACUGCAACCUCCGUGUCCCAGGUUAAAGCAAUUCUGCCUCAGCCUCCCAAGUAGCUGGGAUUACAAGCUCAUGCCACCACGCCCAGCUAAUUCGUGUAUUUCACCAUGUUGGCCAGGCUGGUCUUGAACUCCUGACCUCAAAUGAUCCACAUGCCUCAGCCUCCCAAAGUGCUGGGAUUACAGGCAUGAGCCACCGCGCCCGGCCCUGUCUUAUAUCUUGAUUGCGGUAGUGUUCACUUGACUGUAUAUGUUUGUCAAAACUCCUGGAACUGUACAUUAAAAAGAACUUUUCCAGGUGCAGUGGCUCAUGCCUGUAAACCCAGCACUUUGGGAGGCUGAGGCAGGCGGAUCAUUUGAGGUCUGGAGUUCAAGACCAGCCUGGCCAACAGGGCGAAAACCCGUCUCUACUAAAAAUACAAAAAUUAGCCGGGCAUGGUGGCAUGUGCCUAUAGUCCCAGCUACUCGGGAGGCUGAGGCAGGAGAAUCGCUUGAACCCAGGAGGUGGACGUUGCAGUGAGCUGAGAUUGUGCCACUGCACUCCAGCCUGGGCAACAGAGUGGGAUUCUGUCUCAAAAUAAAUAAAUACAUAAAUGAAUAAAGAGGACAGUCAGACUGUGCACAGUGGCUCAUGCUUGUAAUCCCAGCACUUUGGGAGCCCAAGGCAGGAGGAUCCCUUGAGCCCAGGAAUUCUUUUUUUUUUUUUUUUUUUUUUUCUUGAGGCAGAGUCUAAUUCUGUCGCCAGCCAGGUUGGAGUGCAGUGGUGAUCUCGGCUCACUGCAAUCUCCGACUCCCAGGUUCAAGCGAUUCUCCUGCCUCAGCCUCCCGAGUAGCUGAGAUUACAAGCGUGUGCCAUCACGCCCGACUAAUUUUUGUAUUUUUAGUAGAGACGGGGUUUCACCAUGUUGGCCAGGAUGGUCUUGAUCUCCUGACCUUGUGAUCCGCCCGCCUCGGCGUCCCAAAGUGCUGGGAUUACAGGCGUGAGCCACUGCACCCGGCCAGAGCCCAGGAAUUCAAGACCAGCCUGGGCAACAUAGGGAGACCAUGUCUCUAUAAAAAAAUUAAAUAAUAUAAAAAUAAAGAGGAUAGUUGCUCCUGAGCUCCAGCUGCUGACACGUGGAAAUAAGGGCCCGGUAUUGUCAGGUGUUCUGAUAGUACAGGAAAAUCCUAACUUUUCUUUUUUGAGACAGAGUGUUGCUCUGUCACCCAGGCUGAAGUAUAAUGGCGUGAUCUCAGCUCACUGCAACCUCCGCCUCCCGGGUUCAAGCGAUUCUCCUGUCUCAGCCUGCCGAGUAGCUGGGACUACAGGCAUGGGCCACCACGCCCGGCUAAUUUUUGUAUUUUUAGUAGAGACGGGGUUUCACCAUGUUGUCCAGGCUGAUCAACUUCUGACCUCAAAUGAUCCACCCACCUUGGCCUCCCAAAGUGCUGGGAUUAUAGGCGUGAGCCACCGGCGCCCAGCCAAUCCUAACAUUCUAAUGUCUAUAAUAUGAAAUGUCAUGAUUUUUACAAUGUUAGCAAAUCAUUCAAAAUUUUAGUAAACUGUCUAGAUGUUAGUUUUUACUAUGGUAAAAACAUCGGCCAGGCGCGGUGGCUCAUGCCUCUAAUCCCAGCACUUUGGGAGGCCGAGGCGGGCGGAUCACAAGGUCAAGAGAUCGAGACCAUCCUGGCUAACACAGUGAAACCCCGUCUCCACUAAAAAUACAGAAAACUAGCCAGGUGUGGUGGCAGGCGCUUGUAAUCCCAGCUACGGGAGGCUGAGGCAGGAGAAUGGUGCGAACCCGGGAGGCGGAGGUUGCAGUGAGCCGAGAUUGGGCCACUGCACUCCAGCCUGGACGACAGAGCAGACUCCAUCUCAAAAAAAAAAAAAAUGGUCACCCCUUUUGCUCCUAAAUCACCCUCAAAGUAAAAGAGAACAAGAAACAGAAGCAGAAAUCCAUAUUUAGUGAAAUAAGACAACACCUGUAGCUCCAAACCUGUAGAAGCAGAUCCCAGAGAAAAGCAGGCCAGUUCUCUCCUGGAAUCCCAGAAAGUCCCAGGAAUUGGAGGCUUCAGUGCUGCAGUAGGGAGGGGACUAAAAACAAAGUCUGUAUAUGGAGCAGUAAGACCUCCGGGUUCUCAUCCCCCAUCCUGUGUGCUCUCGGGUGACUAGCCCUCUCCCUCUCCAGGUUUAGCUUCUGGAGAAAUUAAAUCAAAGAGGCUCUAGAACUGGGGAUGGCAGGCAUUGAGUGCAGGGAGUGAGUUGCCAGAGGCUGAGAGCAGAGAGAUUUAGUGGCAGUGGGCAGAGCAAACAGCAAAAUGACUGCCCUCUUCCCUGGCCUUGCUCCAGAAACUGAGCAGCCAGACAUACACACUCCCAGAAGGCAGUUGGAGGUCCCCCCGGGCAAUCAGAACCACCCACAGAGAAGACCUCCAGAUACUGACAUUUAGAAGCCUCUGACCAAAGAGCUGCCUGGCCACCCACUGGCUUACUCGCUGACAGGCCAUGCUCCUGCCGUACACACCGAUCCUAUCAGUCAUCCUCAUGGGCUCCUUUCCAGACUUCUGAGGAAAGCUUCCAACAUGAAGAGGGAGUUCAAAACAAACAGAGAGAGAGAGAGAGAGAGAGAGAAAAGAAAUAUAAACAAUGCAGGGAGCAAAAGAUAACUUCAAAUAAACUCAAAAUAUUCUUCUGGGAGAGAUGAGACAAUAUUGCAUACAUAAAACAAGAAGAGGAUGCUAUCACUAAAUUUUAAAAAAAAGUAACAGAAAGUAAGAAAGACCUCUAAGAAAUGUUUCUGAAAUGAGGUAUAAUUUUUUUUUUUUUGAGAGGGAGUCUUACUCUGUCACCCAGGCUGGAGCGCAGUGGCGUGAUCUCAGCUCACUGCAACCUCCGUCUCCCAGGUUCAAGCGAUUCUCGUGCCUCAGUGCCCCGAGUAGCUGGAAUUACAGGUACACACCACCACGCCUGGCUAAUUUUUGUAUUUUUAGUAGAGGCGGGGUUUACACCAUGUUGGCCAGGCUGGUGUCAAACUCCUGACCUCAGGUGAUCCACCUGCCUUGGCUUCCCAAAGUGCUAGGAUUACAGGCGUGAGCCACUGGACCUGGCGAAAACUCUUUUUUUAAUCAUAACUUUAAAAACCCAGUUUUAAGUUUUAUUUUUUGUGCUACACUGUUUCUUGUGUUCCAUAUCGUUCUCGUACUUGAAUUUCAUUUUUGUCUUCUUGGAGAGAACAACCUCUAGUAGUAAUUCUUUCUAAUGUGGCCAAUGGAUGAAAAGACUAUUUUACCUUCUAUCCUCUAAAAUUUAUUGAGGUGACAAUAUAAGGAGCUCAAACAACUCUACAGGAAAAAAAAUCUAAUCAUCUGAUUUAAAAUGGGCAAAAGAACUGAAUAGACAUUUAUCAAAAGAAGACAUACAAAUGGCAAACAGGUAUAUGAAAAGAUGCUCAACAUCACUGAUCAUCAGAGUAAUGCAAAUCAAAACUACAACGAGGCCAGGUGUGACGGCUCACACCUGUAAUCCCAGCACUCUGGGAGGGUGAGGUGGGAGGAUCACUUAAGCCCAGGAGUUCAAGACCAGCCUGGGCAACAUGGGGAGACCCAGUCUCUACAAAAAAUUAAUAAAUUGGCCAGGUGUAAUGGCACAUACCUGUAGUCCAAGCUACUCUGGAGGCUGAAGUGGGAGGAUCACUUGAGUCCAGGAGGUAAAGGAUGCAGUAAGCCUUGAUUGUAUUACUGCACUCCAGCCUGGGCAACACAGUAAGACCCUGUCUCAAAACAAACAAACAAAACAACAACACACUAAAUGAGAAAUCAUCUGUAUUAGUCCAUUUUCACACUACUGAUAAAGGCAUACCCGAGACUGAGCAACUUACAAAAGAAAGAGGUUUAAGGGACUCACAGUUCCAUGUGGCUGGGGAGGCCUCACAAUCAUGGUGGAAGGUGAAAGACACAUCUCACAUGGCCGCAGACAAGAGAAGAGAGCUUGUGCAGGGAAACUCCCCUUUUUAAAAAUCAUCAGAUCUCAUGAGACUUAUUCACUAUCACUAGAACAGCACAGGAAAGGCCUGCCCCCCAUGAUUCAAUUACCUCCACCGGGUCCCUCCCACAACACAUGGGAAUUCAAGAUGAGAUUUGGGUGGGGACACCCAAAUCAUAUCAUCAUCUCACCCCAGUUAAACCAUAUCAUCAUCUCACUCCAGUUAAUGCAGCUCUUGGCUGGGCACAGUGGCUUGUGUCUGUAAUCCCGGCACUUUGGGAGGCCAAGGUAAGCAGACAAUUUAAGUUCAGGAGUUCCAGAGCAGCCUGGUGAACAUAGUGAAACCCUGUCUUUACUAAAAAUACAAAAUUUAGCUGGGCAUGGUGGCGGGCCCCUGUAAUCCCAGCUACUCUGGAGGAUGAGGCAGGAGAAUUGCUUGAACUGAGAGGAGGUUCAUAAAAUAAAAAUAAAGGCUGUGUUUGUAUCGCUGGGAAAUUUUCUUUUAUUGCUGCUUUGGUUAUUUCCUCUCUUGUUUACUUCUUUCUUUCUGUAACUAUCUAGAUGGAUCCUCCAUGUCACAACUUCUCUUUUCCUUUUGGCAGUUUUCUGGGAGAAACCCUCAGUUUGUUUAUUUAUUUUGAGAUGGAGUUCGCUCUUGUUGCCCAGGCUGGAGUGCAAUGGCGUGAUCUCGGCUCACCAAAACCUCUGCCUCUUGGGUUCAAGUGAUUCUCCUGCCUCAGCUUCCUGAGUAGCUGGGAUUACAGGCAUGCGCCACCAUGCCUGGCUAAUUUUGCAUUUUUAGUAGAGACGGGGUUUCACCAUGUUGGCCAGGCUGGUCUGAAACUCCCGACCUCAGGUGAUCUGCCCACCUCAGCCUCCCAAAGUGCUGGGAUUACAGGCAUGAGCUACCGUGCCUGGCCUGUGUAUUUUUGGAGACAGAGUCUUGCUCUGUUGCCCAGGCUGGAGGGCAGUGGUGCAAACUCUGCCUCCCGGGUUCAAGCGAUUCUCGUGCGUCACCUCCCAAGUAGCUGGGGCUAGAGGCAUGUGCCACCAUGUCUGGUUACUUUUUAUAUAAACCUUCAGUUUAAUCUUUUAGCUUACUGCUGUGUUUUUCAGCUUUAUUCACUUUGCUUUUUUUCUAUAUUUUCGUUUCAACUCAACUUUUAAAAAAUCAUACUUGUAUAUUUGUAUAUUUAUAUUUAUUUUCCAAGACCUCAUUUGCCUCUUUUUCAUAAUGGGCUAUUAUUGCUCCAUGGUACAGAAUCUUCUGUUCUUUCCUAAACUAUUAGUUAUUUUUAAAAUAUUUGUUAACUUUCUCCCCCUUGCUAGUUCUCAGGUACCCGCUUUCUCCCAGAGUGCUGGCUUUCCUUAAUUAUUUGCUGACUUGUGCUGGUGUGUAACCCUUCAUACUUAGGUAUUUCUAUUUGUCUGACUGCUGAUUUGAUUCCAAUCCAGUGUUUCUUCUGAUUCGUGGAGAAGAGACGACAACGCUGUGAGGCUCUGGUUUUGGUGGCUUGUCUGGGUGUGGGAGCUCCUUGUCAUCAUGGGAUUUUUAGCUCCCUGGGUCGCCAUCCUACAUGGCCACUCUCCUGCCGAUGCUGCCCGCUACUCAGCAGGAGGGGAAGUCGAGACCACCUCCUUAACCUUACAGACAUUGAUUGUGAGCUUGGAGCACCUUCCGUGACUGGACCACCCAUGCAGUGGUCCUUUGCUUUUUGCAUUUUUAACUGCAAUUUUCCCCAAGAGUCUUCCCUAAUACAGUCUCUUAGGAAUUGACGGUGGGAUUAAACAAGGCAUGUUUCUGCACUGAAUAUGGUCUAUGGGUUGCCACUUUGCAACCUCAGCUUUAAGGCUUAUUUCCUCCCAGGAAACUGAUGUUAACUUUUUAAGUUAAAAAUGUGUAUAUAAGUAAUACAUGUUUAUUUUGGAAAUUAGAAAAUACAGGCCAGGUGUGGUGGCUCAUGCCUGUAAUCCCAGCAUUUUGGGAGGUUGAGGCAGGAGGAUUGCCUGAGCCCAGGAGUUUGAGACCAGCCUGGGCAACAUAGGGAAAUUCCAUCUCUACAAAAAAAUUAAACAUUAGCUGGGUGUGGUGGUGCCCACCUGUGGUCACAGCUACUCGGGAGACUGAGGUGGGAGGAUAGCUUGGGCAGGGGAGGUUGAGGCUACAGUGAGCCACGAUCACACCAAUGUGACACAGUGAGACCCUGUCUCAAAAAAAAAAAAAAAGAAAGAAAAUAUAGGUAAACACAAAGACAAAAAAGCAGGGCAUGGUGGCUCACACCUGUAAUUCUAGCACCUUGGGAGGCUGAGGCAGGAGGAUCACUUGAGGUCAGGAACUCGAGACGAGACCAGGCUGGGCAGCAUGGCGAGACCCCAUCUCUAUAAAAAGUACAAAAAUUAGCAGGGCACGGUGGUGUGCACCUGUGGUCCUGCUACUUGGGAAGUUGAGGUGGGAGGAUCACCUGAGCCCUGGAGGUUGAGGGUGCUGUGAGCCAUGAUGGCACCACUCCACUCCAGUCCAGGUGAAAGAGCCAGAUCCUGUCUCAAAAAAAAAAAAAAAAAAAAGUGGCUGGGCAUGUAAACUUACCAAGGACCAAGGAGACAAGUCUUGAGAGAAAGGAAGGCAACUCAAAGGAUGGACUUUUAAACACUUGUAACCAGCAUUGGGAACAGUAGUAGGUUGAAGAGGGAAAUCUAGAACUCAUGCCUGAAAACUGCCAGUCAUCCAGCCCAUUUUUCCAUACAGACAUUUGGAAAUAAGUUAAUGGAGCCAUUUUGGUGAGAGCCCUCUGUUCCCUUCAGGAGGCCUUUGUCAGGAAGAGGGUGGGGCAGGGGACUCACCCCCCACUCAAAUCUGGAACUGAAACCAGCUUCAAAGCCGAGUGCAGAGCCAGCGCGGUGGCUCAUGCCUGUCAUCCCAGCACUUUGGGAGUCCAAGGCAGGCCUCACUUGAGGUCAGGAGUUCCAGACCGGCCUGGCCAACAUGGUGAUUGCACCACUGCGCUACAGCCUUGGGUGACAGAGCAAGACUCUGUCUCAAAAAACAAAACAACAAUAAAACAAAGCAGAGUGCAGGAGUGGCUGUGGACUCUGGACGCCCUGCUAGGAUUAGGAUGGGUGUUCCUGGCUCAUGGGCCUCACUGGCUCUUCUGAUGCCCUGCCACCCCCACCCCAGACUGGCUUUGAGCCCCGGAAACCUUGACAGCUUUCUAGAGGUGUCUGUCAGUUAGGUUGUGCCACGCGAAGUUGCCGUUUCUGCAGGUCAAAUAGUGGUGGACUAUUGGCAAUUUCUAGGCACCUCUGGUCUGGUUGAUCCAAAUCCUCCAACCUGUGGCACAUUUAUUUAGCGCUCAUUUUGUGCCAGCCUGCCUGCUAAGCAACUUAUAGCCAUUUUUAUUUGUAUUUAUUUUUCUUUUUGAGACAGGGCCUCGCUCUGUCGCCCAGGCUAGAGUGCAAUGGCGCAAUCUCGGCUCACUGCAACCUCCACCUCCCGGAUUCAAGCGAUUCUCCUGCCUCAGCCUCCCGAGUAGCUGGGAUUACAGGGGUGCACCACUACGACCGGCUAAUUUUUGUUAUUUUUAGUAGAGACAGGGUUUCACCGUGUUGGCCUGGCUGGUCUUGAACUUCUGGCCUCAAGUGAUCCACCCGCCUCGGCCUCCAAAAGUGCUAGGAUUACAGGCAUGAGCCACCGCGCCCCACUAUAGCCAUUUUUAAACUGUCCCAAGUUUCUGAGGAAACGGAAUUGUUCACCAUUUGACAGAGAAGAAAACUCUGGCUCAGAUACUCCCCUUUUAGAAUUGUUUCGGGGGCUGGCUCGUCCGUCAAACUUUAAAAAAAUAACAACAGCAUGCUGAGUUGAAGUUAAAAGAGCUGGGGUCUGGAGGUCGCUGGGCUCAGGGGCGCUGCCACUCAACAGCUGCGCCGAGCUGGGGACGCGCAGGGGAAGCAAGUUCCCAGCUCUGUGGACUCCAGGUCUGAGAAAAAUCCUGUCGGUAUUCAGCCACCCAGUGUUCCCAUCAAUACGAUGAGAAUAAUGAGGACAAUAGCCACCACGUCCGGCAAACUCAGGCGUGAGCUGCGAGGACUCGGUACCGCCCGGCAGGGAAAAAGCAGGGCCUGGAGGCCGAGGAGCCCCACCCGCACCCACCACGUGGAGCCGGCCGGGCCUGCGGCGAAGCCACAGGGCGACUCCCGGGGCGCGGAGCGGGGCGGGGGCGGGACUAGCACGGCCCCACUCUGCCGACGCCUCUCCCAGGUCGCGACACCGGCGAGCCGCUCC
This 10747-nucleotide long non-coding RNA is filed under the name Homo sapiens (human). RNAcentral's name for it is "non-protein coding lnc-MLXIP-12:12". The record is from RNAcentral. Lineage: Eukaryota; Metazoa; Chordata; Mammalia; Primates; Hominidae.